GCUGGGCAUGCUGGUGCACGCCUGUAAUCCCAGCAACUUGGGAGGCUAAGGCAGGAGGAUUGCAAGUUCAAAGCUUGCCCCAGCAACUUAGCAAGGCCUUAAGCAACUCACGGAGACUCUGUCUCUA
This 127-nucleotide small RNA is filed under the name Marmota monax (woodchuck). Lineage: Eukaryota; Metazoa; Chordata; Mammalia; Rodentia; Sciuridae. The record is from RNAcentral.